AGAGCACUUCCUGCCAAUGCCAUCUUAAAUCAGUUCCAGCCUGCAGCGGGUGGCUACUUUGUGCCAGCAGUCCCACAGGCUCAGGGAAGGCCUCCAUAUUAUACACCUAACCAGUUAGCACAGAUGAGGCCUAAUCCACGCUGGCAGCAAGGUGGGAGACCUCAAGGCUUCCAAGGAAUGCCAAGUGCUAUACGCCAGUCUGGGCCUCGUCCAACUCUUCGCCAUCUGGCUCCAACUGGUAAUGCUCCGGCCUCUCGUGGCCUCCCUACUACCACUCAGAGAGUCGGUGAGCAAACUGGCCUUUAGAAGUGUGGCCUGGGGAGGAGGGAGUCAGGAUGACUAGGCUCUGUCCUGGGUUGGUCAGUUUGUUGGGCUCGAAUUUAUCGAGUCCUGGUUCUGUAAUCUUAGCUGUGUGCUUAGGUGGCCACUUCAGGAGCAGAGAAACAGUAUGAGUUCUAGGUGUGUCAGUUGCUUUU
This 476-nucleotide long non-coding RNA is filed under the name Homo sapiens (human). Its description in RNAcentral is "non-protein coding lnc-PABPC4-4:2". The record is from RNAcentral. Lineage: Eukaryota; Metazoa; Chordata; Mammalia; Primates; Hominidae.